GUUACUUUUAGUAUAUACUGCAUGUCAACUUUCUGCAAAUUAAGAUAUAGCUCAUUUUUAUUUCUUUCUGCAGAAUAUUUUUCCUUAUACAGCAUUGCACAGCAUUUCUACACUGUGGAUCAGACAGACAAGAACUUCAGUUAAUAUCCUCGAGGCAAUUUGAGACCUUGCAAUGCCCAGCUGUCUACCCUGCUGUCUCUGCCAAAGAGGCAAUGAAGUGGAAUCCACCAGUCUUAUCAUGGCUCCAGGUUCUCCUGAAAGGAAAGGGACACCUGUCUGAAGAAAUUUACCCUGGGCAGAAAAGAGGUUGAGCACAUGACUUUCCCUGCUAUGUCUCAAGGAUCUCUGAAAAACCAUACAGGCAAAAAAGAUCUGUCAGUGCAGUGCUACAAGAAGCAACUUGAACAAAAGUUAAAUUGAGGAUGUGGUGUGGUACGGUAUUUGCUUGGACUGAUAAUUUCUGGCUGAUCAAGGUUUGAAUGCUUUGAAUGGGCUUCAUUUGGAACCUGGAUGUACGUCACAGUGAUUUACAAUUGAUAUGAUACUCUGAUACCGUUACUCACUGUACAGCUCCACAUAGCAUAAUAUAUAAAACCUGCACCAUGUUAAAAGGCGAGCUGACAAUCACCUCCAAACAUUUAUUUUGUGGCACAAAUGCUAGCUUUUUCCCAAAGCCAGAAUGCUGUCUCCCACCAUAAACGCUACACAUAAAUACUAUAUAAUGGGAACAAGGUGUCAGCUGGAGGCUUGCAGGCUCUAUUUAGUUCUUACUUUUUUUUUUUUCCACAUUUCUUGACAUAUAGCACUGUAGUUGUGCCACUGUUAGGCUGACUGAAAUGCUAAUUUCCAAAUAGAUGCAGUAAGACUUAUAUCUAUGUUGUGCCUUCAGAUAAAGAGGCAUAAAAUCUGAGAAAAAGCAUCACAGCCAGGCUGGGAUUAUUAUUGAUCUGGUGAUAAUUAGUUUCUUUGUAAAAGUGAACUUCCAGGUUUGCCAUUUCUAUUUAUAUAGAACGUCAG
This 1017-nucleotide long non-coding RNA is filed under the name Struthio camelus australis. Its description in RNAcentral is "lncRNA (ENSSCUG00000010851.1)". The record is from RNAcentral. Lineage: Eukaryota; Metazoa; Chordata; Aves; Struthioniformes; Struthionidae.